RNAcentral lists this ribosomal RNA (673 nucleotides) under Pediococcus pentosaceus. RNAcentral describes it as "bacterial SSU rRNA". It matches the Rfam family "Bacterial small subunit ribosomal RNA", at positions 367 to 1031 of the family's 1533-position model. Lineage: Bacteria; Bacillati; Bacillota; Bacilli; Lactobacillales; Lactobacillaceae. The record is from RNAcentral.
CACAAUGGACGCAAGUCUGAUGGAGCAACGCCGCGUGAGUGAAGAAGGGUUUCGGCUCGUAAAGCUCUGUUGUUAAAGAAGAACGUGGGUAAGAGUAACUGUUUACCCAGUGACGGUAUUUAACCAGAAAGCCACGGCUAACUACGUGCCAGCAGCCGCGGUAAUACGUAGGUGGCAAGCGUUAUCCGGAUUUAUUGGGCGUAAAGCGAGCGCAGGCGGUCUUUUAAGUCUAAUGUGAAAGCCUUCGGCUCAACCGAAGAAGUGCAUUGGAAACUGGGAGACUUGAGUGCAGAAGAGGACAGUGGAACUCCAUGUGUAGCGGUGAAAUGCGUAGAUAUAUGGAAGAACACCAGUGGCGAAGGCGGCUGUCUGGUCUGCAACUGACGCUGAGGCUCGAAAGCAUGGGUAGCGAACAGGAUUAGAUACCCUGGUAGUCCAUGCCGUAAACGAUGAUUACUAAGUGUUGGAGGGUUUCCGCCCUUCAGUGCUGCAGCUAACGCAUUAAGUAAUCCGCCUGGGGAGUACGACCGCAAGGUUGAAACUCAAAAGAAUUGACGGGGGCCCGCACAAGCGGUGGAGCAUGUGGUUUAAUUCGAAGCUACGCGAAGAACCUUACCAGGUCUUGACAUCUUCUGACAGUCUAAGAGAUUAGAGGUUCCCUUCUGGGACACAA